RNAcentral lists this ribosomal RNA (119 nucleotides) under Triticum aestivum (bread wheat). Lineage: Eukaryota; Viridiplantae; Streptophyta; Magnoliopsida; Poales; Poaceae. RNAcentral also lists the same sequence under 3 other names. The record is from RNAcentral.
GGAUGUGAUCAUACCAGCACUAAAGCACCGGAUCCCAUCAGAACUCCGAAGUUAAGCGUGCUUGGGCGAGAGUAGUACUAGGAUGGGUGACCUCUUGGGAAGUCCUCGUGUUGCAUUCC